Molecule: long non-coding RNA, 1098 nt
Filed under: Apteryx rowi (Okarito brown kiwi)
Lineage: Eukaryota; Metazoa; Chordata; Aves; Apterygiformes; Apterygidae
Description: lncRNA (ENSARWG00000008308.1)
Source: RNAcentral
AGUGGUGCAGAAAAUCUGACAUCUCGGUGCAUCAUCCAGUCCGUGCUGGAUGGCGUUUAUUCCUGCUUCAAGCAAAGAGUAUUUCCAGUGCUCUGACACCUCAAACAGCUACCACAGGACAGCCCUGCAAAAAAGCAGCAUCAGUAACCAAGGCAGCAGAGCACGAAUGCGGCGAGAGGCGGCUGUUUGCGCAUCUCCCGACACCACUCCCAGGUAGCUUUCCGUGCCGAGCGCCAGCCCUGCCCAGCCCACGCUCGCCUGGGAAAGAGGCAAACCUCUUCUCGUGGUCUCAGCUGCCAGCCAACAGCCCUGCCGCGGUCGGACAGACRACUUCAGUUCACCUCACAGUUGGCCUCCCUGCCGAACCUGUUGGCCUUCAGUCAGCAAGGCAAGAGCCUGUUUGGACCAGCUCUGAACCGCUCCAGCGUUCACCUACGUGACACACUGCAGAGGCAGAGCCAAACAACAGCCAGGGCCAGAUACUCUCUUUUAGAAAGGGAAGGAAAUUUCCAUCUGGGGAAAAGCACAGCUGCAGGAAGGAGGGGGAGGCCGAGUGGCUCUGAUGAUGGAUGUUGAAGCAGUGUCUCUCCCUAAUCAGUUAUCCCCCCAUGAGCCCAGGCCCACGGAGCCUGCUAACAGCUGCUCCGACCUCUCCUUCCCUGUUUCUCACAGCAGGUUGCUGCAGCUCUGCCCCUUCUCUGUGUUUGGGCCAGUACUUCCCAGUAAGGGGCUAAGCAAUACCUGGGGAGCGGCAGGCAGCACAGGUCCGUAACGCCAGCACCACAAAACGUUCCCGCCCGGGCACCGAUAUGGGCUGCUAAGGCAGGAGUAGGCCCUGCGCGAGCGCGGGAGGGCGCCUGCACGCCUUCCCUCAGCAGUAAAGGCACUUUGCAGGCAGGCUCCGUACGCGUCGCGAGCRCGAGCCAAACUUCCAAGGAGAAGGGCUGUCUGCAGCUGGGGGAGGCAGGAUAUGGCUUUUAGCUGACUGCUGGAGUGGCUUCCGCCCCGCCGUGUCGGCUGGGGCUGGCUCAGGAAGGGCAGGGGGUUCCCUGGGGGGGGGGGGGGGGGGGGGGGGGGGGGGGGGGGGGGUGAGCGAUG